AUGGCGAGUGACCAGUGUCUUCUCGGGACAGUGUCGUUCCAAGGAGGCAAGCACGAAGAUGAGAGCUGUGCAGAGGAACCCUGGGACCAGACAACGGAAAGGAGCAUGCCUUGCCCAGAACGUGCAGCGGCUGUCCAGCCCCCUGUCAUCUACGCCUUAAAGCCCUGUAAUGCAGACACUGCCUCCUCCAUGACCCUGGGCUGCCUGGUAAAGGACUACUUCCCUGACCCGGUGACUGUGACCUGGUAUUCGAACACCCAGAACAUGAGCACCGUGAAUUUCCCGUCCCUGAGCUCCGAACUCAUGGUCACCACCAGCCAAGUGACCACCUGGGGCAAGUCAGCCAAGAACUUCACUUGCCAGGUGGCACACGCCCCAUCCAACUUCAGCAAGAGUAAGGUGAUCAAAGCGUCACUUGUCAAUAUCACCCAGCCCACCUUGAAGCUACUCCAUUCAUCCUGUGACCGCAAUGCAUUCCACUCCACCAUCCACCUCUACUGCUUCAUUCAAGGCCACAUCCUGGAUGACAUCACUGUCACCUGGCUGAAGGAUGGACAGGAGAUGCCCAGUGCAUCUCCCAGGGUUUCCCUAAUCAAGAAGGAGGGCAAGCUAGCCUCUACCUACAGUGAACUCAACAUCACCACGGAGCAAUGGAUGUCUGAGAGCAUCUUCACCUGCAGGGUCAACUCCCAAGGCGAGGAGUAUCAGGCCUCUGCCCAAAAGUGCUCAGAGUAUGAACCACGUGGCGUAAGUGCCUACCUGAUCCCACCCAGCCCGCUGGACCUGUAUGUACACAAGUCUCCCAAGCUUACCUGCCUGGUGGUGGACCUGGAAAGCAAGGAAAACGUCACCGUGGAAUGGACCCAAGAGCAUAGGAAGCCGGCAGGCUCGGCAUCACAGAGUUCCACCAGACACCACAAUGCAACGACCAGUAUUACCUCCACCCUGCCAGUGGAUGCCAACGACUGGAUCGAAGGCGAAAGCUAUAGGUGCAGUGUGACCCUCCCUCACCUGCCCAAGUCCAUUGUGCGCAUCAUCUCCAAGGCCCCGGGCAAGCGCUCAGCCCCCGAGGUGUAUGUGUUCCCACCACCAGAGAAGGAGAAUGACGGCAAGCGCACACUCACCUGCCUGGUCCAGAACUUCUUCCCUGAGGACAUCUCAGUGCAGUGGCUGCAGGAUAAGACACUGAUCCCAAACACCCAGUACAGAACCACAGCACCCCUGAAGCCCAGUGGCUCCCGUCAUGGCUUCUUCGUCUUCAGCCGCCUAGAGGUCACAAAGGCUCAAUGGGCACAGAAUAAACAUUUCACCUGCCGAGUGAUCCAUGAGGCACUGCAAGAACACAGGAAGCUUGAGAAAACAGUGUCCAAGAUCCCUGAGCUAGACCUCCAGGACCUAUGUGCAGAAGAGCCCGAGAGCGAGGAGCUGGAGGAGUUGUGGACCAGCACCUGCAUCUUCAUCGCCCUGUUCCUGCUCAGUGUGAGCUAUGGGGCCGCUGUCACCCUCCUCAAGGUGAAGUGGGUCUUCUCCACACGGAUGCAGGAUACGCCCCAGACCCUCCACGACUAUGCCAACAUCCUCCUCGCCAGGGCAUAG
Phodopus roborovskii (desert hamster) is the source of this 1596-nucleotide non-coding RNA. The record is from the annotation of a RefSeq genome assembly. NCBI's taxonomy places the organism in Eukaryota, Metazoa, Chordata, Mammalia, Rodentia, Cricetidae.